AAUCCAAACCGCAGCGAAAUGUUGAAGGUGACAGGGAUGCCAAGGAACGCGACGUGAAAAGCAAACUCACCGCAGUGGAACGGGAGAGUCUUUCAGAACAAUAUCGACUGCGUGGUAAUGACUAUUUUCGCGCUAAGGAAUAUGAUAACGCUAUUAACGAGUAUAAUCUCUCCAUUACCAUUUGUCCAGAGAAAGCGGCGCCAGCGUACAACAAUCGUGCCGCGGCGAAAAUAAAACUUAAAUGGUAUUCCGACGCUAUCAAAGAUUGUGAACAAUGCCUUCAGUUGGAGCCAGAUAACCUGAAGGCCAGAUUAAGGCUAGCAGAAGCCACUUAUUGUGACGGA
Long non-coding RNA from Rhagoletis zephyria (snowberry fruit fly), 344 nucleotides. RefSeq lists it as uncharacterized. NCBI's taxonomy places the organism in Eukaryota, Metazoa, Arthropoda, Insecta, Diptera, Tephritidae. The record is from RefSeq and is a predicted model, not a curated record.